CCAGUGCUCAUCCCAUCAAGUGCCCCCCAUCAGUGCCUGUCACCCAGUCACCCCGUCCCCCUGCCCACCUCCCUUUCCACUACCCCUUGUUCGUUUCCCAGAGUUAGGAGUCUCUCAUGCUCCGUCACCCUCACUGAUAUUUCCUACUCGUUUUCUCUCCUUUCCCCUAUAAUCCCUUUCACUAUUUUUUAUAUUCCCCAAAUGAGUGAGACCAUAUAAUGUUUGUCCUUCUCCAAUUGACUUACUUCACUCAGCAUAAUACCCUCCAGUUCCAUCCACAUUGAAGCAAAUGGUGGGUACUUGUUGUUUCUAAUGACUGAGUAAUAUUCCACUGUAUAUAUAGACCACAUCUCCUUUAUCCACUCAUCUGUCGAUGGACACCGAGGCUCCUUCCACAGUUUGGCUAUUGUGGACAUCGCUGCUAUAAACAUUGGGGUGCAGGUGUCCUGCCGUUUCACUGCAUCUGUAUCUUUGGGGUAAAUACCCAGCAGUGCAAUUGCUGGGUUGUAGGGCAGGUCUAUUUUUAACUCUUUGAGGAACCUCCACACAGUUUUCCAGAAUGGCGGCACCAGUUCACAUUCCCACCAACAGUGCAAGAGGGUUCUCCUUUCUCCCCAUCCUCUCCAAAAUUUAUUGUUUCCUGUCUUGUUCAUUUUUCACCAUUCUCACUGGUGUGAGGUGGGAUCUCAUUGUGGUUCUGAUUUGUAUUUCCCUGAUGGCCAGUGAUGCGGAGCAUUUGCUCACGUGCUUGUUGGCCAUGUCUAUGUCUUCCUCUGUGAGAUUUCUGUUCAUGAAGAAGCCUGCUUCUCCCUCUGCCUAUGUCUCUGCCUCUCUCUGUGUGUGUCUCUCAUGAAUAGAUAAAUUAAAUCUUAAAAAAAAAAAGUUUGUAAAAAAGGAAGGAUCUCUAUCGUCUCCACAUGCUCACGGGAUUUUGUUUUCCUCUUGUGGAAAUCAUCCCACCCUGUUCUCCAUUGGCUCUGUGGCUUAUUUCUGUUGCUUUGUAAUUCUUCCUUUAUUUUAAAUACUAGUGUCUUGUUGAUUUGGGACAUUGCAAAUACCUUCUCCUAUUCUGUCAAUGCUUUUAACUGCAAGAUGCCUUUCAAAGAACAUGGGGGGUGGCUUAUAUUAUGUGCUUUUGAAAUUUGGUUUAAAAGUCUGCCCUAGGGCAGCCCGGGUGGCUCAGUGGUUUAGCGCCGCCUCCAGCUCAGGGUGUGAUCCUGGAGACCCAGGAUCGAGUCCCACGUCAGGCAGACACCCAACCGCCAAGCCACCCAGGCAUCCCAAAAUUUGGCAACUUUUAAAUUUUGAGCAUCAUGGGGCACCUGGCUGGCUCAGUCAGUGAGCAUGCAACUCUUGAUCUUGGGGUUCUGAGUUCAAGCCCCGUGUUGCAUGUAGAGAUCACUUAAAAAUAAAAUCUUAAAAAAAAAAAUUAUGGAUCAUGUUUUCGGUGUUGUAUCUAAGAAAUCUUUGCCUAAUGCAAAAACUACAGGAAUUAUUUUAUGGUUUCUUCUAGAAAUUUUAUAAUUUGGGGUUUUAUAUUUAUGUCUGAGAUCCAUUUUGAGUUUUAUGUAUGAUGUGAAAUAUGUGUUGGAGUUUUUUUUUUUUAAAUUUUAUUUAUUUACUUCAUGACAGACACACAGAGAAAGAGGCAGAGGCAGAGGGAGAAGCAGACUCCAUGUAGGGAGCCUGAUGUGGGACUUGAUCCUGGGACUCCGAGAUCACAACCUGAGCCAAAGGCAGACGCUCAACCGCUGAGCCACCCAAGCAUCCCUGGAGUUCAUCUUUCCUGUGUGAUGUCCAACUAUUCCAGCACCAUUAGUUGAAAAGACAAUAAUCUUUUCUUCACUGACUUGCUUUUGCAGCUUUUAUCAGAUCCUUGCAGGGGCAUCUAGGUGGCUCAGUCAGUGAGGAAUGUGCCUCCAGCUCAGGUCAUGAUUUCCAGGGUCCUAAGAUUGGGCCCCACAUCGGGUUCCCUGCUCAGCAGGGAGCCUGCUUCUCCCUCUCCUUCUGCAGCUCUGCCUACCUGUGCACGCUCUCUCUGUCAAUAAAGAAAAGCUUAAAAAAAAAAAAAAGAUUCUUGGGGACAUACACUGUGGAAUGUGGCAGUGACUCCCAGGUUCUAAUGUGCCCCCCUGGAGGCUUGUGGGGAGAUCUGGAAGGGAAAGCCCAAGGUCAGUGGUCUCCAUUCUUUUCCCCAAGGCCUCAGCCAACAGAAGUCUCACAGCCCCAAUAUAAUUCUCACAAAACUCGCACUACAGACAGGAUGGAUCAAUGACAGCCUCUCAACAACUCCAGGGAGUGGUAUGACCACACGCAAACUGCUUCCCUCUGGCAUCUUGUUUUUGUCACCUCCAGCCAUAUUCAGUCUUGCCCCCUCCACACACACACACCUCCACAGACACACACACAUGUACAUUCACACAUGCACCUGCAUACAUACACAUACUACAUGCAUACACAUGCCAUACACAACACACCUGUACCUCUAUACACCUCCAUGGAUGCACACGUACCUAUGAAUUCUAUUUUUUACAUAGUAAGUUAAUCACAUACUAAGAUUGCAGAGUGUCAAUCAGGCUCAGCAAUGGACCCCCUAACCCCACUUUUCUUGUAGGGACAACUUCCCUCAUAUUUCUCACAUGCCUGAUUCCUCUCACCAACUAGCACCUUCCUGUUCUUUCCACUGGCAUCCCAUUUGCUCCCUUCCCUUCCCCAGAGAGGGCUUAGCAAUCACUCUGCUACCUUGUCCCAGGAGCUCUCUGUGACAGGUCGUCAUUGCCACUGAGCGUCUGUUUCUCGGACCAUUUUUGUACCAGCAUCACAGCUCAGGAUCCUCAGGAAGCAGACUCUCUUCCACAGCUUGGCAUGUGGGAGGUUUAUUAGAAAGCAUCCUUGGGGUUUACACCUAGGGAAGAGAAGAAAGACACAGGAGGAUUGAGUGGAGGGAGAAAGUGGGCUACAGUGGGAAGUCAAUAGAGCCCUCAGUCGACCCCACAGGAAAGGUAGAAGCUGGAUAGUUCUGGAGGAUUGUCUUGAGUUGGGACAACGCUGGACCUUUAUGGAUGUGGGUUGUGUGGGGAAGGAGACAUGGGCUCGAGCAAGUGAAUGUCUUCCAAGGCAAUUCUGAAGAGGGCUGACAUCCCCGGGCUGUUUGCUACCAGCUUGUACAAGGGCCAGGGAGUAACUCUCUGACUCAGGAGAGAAUGGCUCUCAGCAAUGUAGCACAGCACCUCCCCAGCUAGGAAAAGUAAAAAACAGAACAAGAAGGAAUUCUUGGAAAUUUAAAAUUACUGCCAAAAGGAGCACCUGGCUGCCCCAGUCAGUGAAGCAUGAAACCCUUGACCUCAGGGUUGUGAGUUUGAGUCCCACACUGGGUGAUGAGAUUACUAAAACUAAAUAAAUAAACUUAAAAAAAUAAAAACUCUUAAAAAAAAAAUGACUGCCAAAACAAAAAUCUAACCAGGGUGGCUCAGUUGGUUAAGCAUCUGAUUCUUGAUCUCAGCUCAGAUCUGGAUCUUGGGGUCAAGAAUUAAGGCCCACAUUGGGCUCUAUGCUGGGCAUAAAACCUAUACCUUAAAAAAAAAAAAAAAAAAAAAAAAAAA
Molecule: long non-coding RNA, 3602 nt
Filed under: Canis lupus familiaris (dog)
Lineage: Eukaryota; Metazoa; Chordata; Mammalia; Carnivora; Canidae
Description: lncRNA (ENSCAFG00845009300.1)
Source: RNAcentral